Molecule: unclassified non-coding RNA, 254 nt
Rfam family: Eukaryotic small subunit ribosomal RNA (bases 1-46)
AAGUCGUAACAAGGUUUCCGUAGGUGAACCUGCGGAAGGAUCAUUACCGAGUUCAUGCCCUUCGGGGUAGAUCUCCCACCCUUUGUUUACUAUACUAUGUUGCUUUGGCGGACCGCCUGAUCGCCCCUCGGGGUCUUCAGCUACCGGCUUCGGCUGGUACGUGUCCGCCAGAGGACCCAAAACCCUGAAUAUUAGUGUCGUCUGAGUAAAAAGUUUAAUAUUUAAAACUUUCAACAACGGAUCUCUUGGCUCUC